Molecule: ribosomal RNA, 468 nt
Filed under: uncultured bacterium
Lineage: Bacteria
Description: partial 16S ribosomal RNA
Rfam family: Bacterial small subunit ribosomal RNA
Source: RNAcentral
GAUGAACGCUGGCGGCGUGCUUAACACAUGCAAGUCGAACGGAAAGGCCGAAGCUUGCUUCGGUACUCGAGUGGCGAACGGGUGAGUAACACGUGGGUGAUCUGCCCUGUACUUCGGGAUAAGCUUGGGAAACUGGGUCUAAUACCGGAUAUGACGAUCUCUUGGAUGGGGUUGUGGAAAGCUUUUGCGGUAUGGGAUGAGCUCGCGGCCUAUCAGCUUGUUGGUGGGGUAAUGGCCUACCAAGGCGUCGACGGGUAGCCGGCCUGAGAGGGUGUACGGCCACAUUGGGACUGAGAUACGGCCCAGACUCCUACGGGAGGCAGCAGUGGGGAAUAUUGCACAAUGGGCGCGAGCCUGAUGCAGCGACGCCGCGUGGGGGAUGACGGCCUUCGGGUUGUAAACUCCUUUCGCAAUCGACGAAGCCUUUUGGUGACGGUAGGUUGAGAAGAAGCACCGGCUAACUACGUG